This 76-nucleotide non-coding RNA is filed under the name Niastella vici. Its description in RNAcentral is "Fluoride sequence". It matches the Rfam family "Fluoride riboswitch aptamer (crcB RNA motif)". Lineage: Bacteria; Pseudomonadati; Bacteroidota; Chitinophagia; Chitinophagales; Chitinophagaceae. The record is from Rfam by way of RNAcentral.
CACCACAAAGGAAAUGGUGUCUUCCUAUUUGAACCGUCCCGAUGAUUAACUAAGGACUGAUGGCGCCUACAAAUAG